Molecule: ribosomal RNA, 606 nt
Filed under: uncultured bacterium
Lineage: Bacteria
Description: bacterial SSU rRNA
Rfam family: Bacterial small subunit ribosomal RNA
Source: RNAcentral
AGAGUUUGAUCCUGGCUCAGAACGAACGCUGGCGGCGCGCCUAAUACAUGCAAGUCGAGCGAGAAGGUGUAGCAAUACACUUGUAAAGCGGCGAACGGGUGAGGAAUACAUGGGUAAUCUACCAUCGAGUGGGGAAUAACCAGCCGAAAGGUUGGCUAAUACCGCGUACGCCUCCGGGUUUUCGGAUCCGGAGGGAAAGCCGCACUGUGAGUGCGGCGCUCUUUGAUGAGCUCAUGUCCUAUCAGCUUGUUGGUAGGGUAACGGCCUACCAAGGCUUUGACGGGUAGCUGGUCUGAGAGGACGAUCAGCCACACUGGCACUGCGACACGGGCCAGACUCCUACGGGAGGCAGCAGUAAGGAAUAUUGCGCAAUGGGCGAAAGCCUGACGCAGCGACGCCGCGUGGGGGAUGAAGGUCUUCGGAUUGUAAACCCCUUUCGGGAGGGAAGAUGGAACGAGCAAUCGUUCGGACGGUACCUCCAGAAGCAGCCACGGCCAACUUCGUGCCAGCAGCCGCGGUAAUACGAAGGUGGCAAGCGUUGUUCGGAUUCACUGGGCGUACAGGGUGUGUAGGCGGUUUGGUAAGCCUUCUGUUAAAGCUUCGGGC